Molecule: non-coding RNA, 21 nt
Filed under: Caenorhabditis elegans
Lineage: Eukaryota; Metazoa; Nematoda; Chromadorea; Rhabditida; Rhabditidae
Source: RNAcentral
UGAAUUGUUACGUAUUGUCUG